Cyprinus carpio (common carp) is the source of this 1112-nucleotide long non-coding RNA. Lineage: Eukaryota; Metazoa; Chordata; Actinopteri; Cypriniformes; Cyprinidae. The record is from Ensembl.
CUGAUAUAUAAAGUGAUGAUACAAUUUAAAAUAUUUAAUUAGACCAACAACGUGAUUUGUUGAAACAUUAAGCUUUUCCAUUGGCUCAACAUGAAAUUUCACAUUAACUCAAUGCUGCAACAAGUCCUUAACAUGACCGCAUCUGCCAUCUCUGCUGAUCCAGAGUCUGUCUACAGCCAUGGCAGGAACCUCAGGGAUUGGACAGGCUGAGACAACAGGGGUGGCAGCCUUGACCCCUGCAUGACUUGAACCUCUGCAUCCAUGACAGUAAACUCUGCAUGAUUAAGCAUUAAAAGAUUGCAAUCUUGUGUUUUGUUGCUGCCCAAAUUAAAAUUCUAUCUAAUUAUCUAAUUGAAAUUAAUUAACUUUAAAACAGACUGAUGCAACAAACAUUUUGUCAGAACCUCUAGUAAAUGUUUUGUUUGGCUAUAAAAUUUCCUCACCACAUCAAGACAUCAUGUAUUGUAACAAGUCUGAAGAGUGUGUUAUGUUCUGUUCAGGUGUGAUUUAAGUGCAUGUAUAUUCUCUUUUUGUGUUAUGUGUUCUUUUGAAUUGGGCUUUGAGGGGUGAGUAUUCUUCUAUUGAAUAAGACUAUGCACUCAUGUGUUGUUUUUUGUUGUUGUUGUUGAAGGUAAGAGCAUCCGUUACAUGAGUGUUCACAAUAAUAUAAAACUUAAAACUGUAACAUGAGUCUUAGCACUUAUUACAAUCAUUACAGUACUGUUUUUCAUUUUAUAUAUAAAAUUCCAUUUUAUUAAAUACUUUAUCAAUUUCAUUAUAUAAAAUAAUUUUCACCGAAUAUCCUUUGAUUGAUCUGUUGUGUUAUUAAAGUGAUGUGAUAUUAAUACAGUGUGUUUAUUGUAUAACCAUUCCAAAGAAAUUCACUCAGGUUGCUUUGCCAGUAUAAUUUUUGAAUAGGGGUGUGUGUGUGUGUUGCAGUCUCCAGUGAGCUCGGUCGGUUGGAGCGGUUUCGGUCUUAUCCCAUGAUAAUUCAAUGAUUGUAAGGCACCAUGUUUGUCUCAGGUAUCCUUGCUUCUGCUUCCCUUGGAGUGGCGCCCACAACAUGGCCAUCUUUGGUAAUCGUACCUGGGAUAGCCAAAGAAAAUGGCCUG